This 254-nucleotide ribosomal RNA is filed under the name uncultured bacterium. RNAcentral's name for it is "partial 16S ribosomal RNA". It matches the Rfam family "Bacterial small subunit ribosomal RNA", at positions 524 to 776 of the family's 1533-position model. The record is from RNAcentral.
UACGUAGGGGGGCGAGCGUUGUCCGGAUUCAUUGGGCGUAAAGCGCUUUAAGGCGGUUCGGUAAGUCGGGUGUGAAACCUCCAGGCUCAACCUGGAGACGCCACUCGAUACUGCUGUGACUAGAGUCCGGAGAGGGAGAGUGGAAUUCCUGGUGUAGCGGUGAAAUGCGCAGAUAUCAGGAGAACACCAGUGGCGAAGGCAGCUCUCGUCGGACGUACUGACGCUGAGACGACGAAGCGUGGGGAGCGAACAGG